RNAcentral lists this ribosomal RNA (253 nucleotides) under uncultured bacterium. RNAcentral describes it as "partial 16S ribosomal RNA". It matches the Rfam family "Bacterial small subunit ribosomal RNA", at positions 524 to 776 of the family's 1533-position model. The record is from RNAcentral.
UACAGGGGGUGCAAGCGUUAUUCGGAAUUAUUGGGCGUAAAGAGCGUGUAGGUGGUUUAUUAAGUUUGGUGUGAAAGCCCUGGGCUCAAUCCAGGAAGUGCAUUGAAUACUGGUAGACUAGAGUAGAGGAGAGGAUGGCGGAAUUCCAGGUGUAGAGGUGAAAUUCGUAGAUAUUCGGAAGAACACCAGUGGCGAAGGCGGCUCACUGGCCCGGUACUGACGCUGAGGUGCGAAAGCAUGGGGAGCAAACAGG